AGAGUUUGAUCCUGGCUCAGAGCGAACGCUGGCGGCAGGCCUAAUACAUGCAAGUCGAACGGAUCCUUCGGGAUUAGUGGCGGACGGGUGAGUAACACGUGGGAACGUGCCCUUUGGUUCGGAACAACUCAGGGAAACUUGAGCUAAUACCGGAUGUGCCCUUCGGGGGAAAGAUUUAUCGCCAUUGGAGCGGCCCGCGUUCUGAUUAGCUAGUUGGUGGGGUAAAGGCCCACCAAGGCGACGAUCAGUAGCUGGUCUGAGAGGAUGAUCAGCCACACUGGGACUGAGACACGGCCCAGACUCCUACGGGAGGCAGCAGUAGGGAAUCUUGCGCAAUGGGCGAAAGCCUGACGCAGCCAUGCCGCGUGAAUGAUGAAGGUCUUAGGAUUGUAAAAUUCUUUCAGCGGGGACGAUAAUGACGGUACCCGCAGAAGAAGCC
RNAcentral lists this ribosomal RNA (439 nucleotides) under uncultured bacterium. RNAcentral's name for it is "bacterial SSU rRNA". It matches the Rfam family "Bacterial small subunit ribosomal RNA", at positions 8 to 492 of the family's 1533-position model. The record is from RNAcentral.